CUGAGAAGACCCCCUCUUCUGCUGCACAUGCACUCACGUGGAAAAUCUGGUAGACUCUCUAAAACACUUUUCAAAGAUAUCCUUCAAAAUUCAGCC
Tursiops truncatus (common bottlenose dolphin) is the source of this 96-nucleotide non-coding RNA. The record is from Rfam. NCBI's taxonomy places the organism in Eukaryota, Metazoa, Chordata, Mammalia, Artiodactyla, Delphinidae.